This 253-nucleotide ribosomal RNA is filed under the name uncultured bacterium. RNAcentral's name for it is "partial 16S ribosomal RNA". It matches the Rfam family "Bacterial small subunit ribosomal RNA", at positions 524 to 776 of the family's 1533-position model. The record is from RNAcentral.
UACGUAGGGGGCAAGCGUUGUCCGGAUUUAUUGGGCGUAAAGAGCGCGCAGGCGGUCUGCCAAGUCAGAUGUGAAAGAGGCCGGCUUAACCGGCAAGGGUCAUUUGAAACUGACAGACUAGAGUGCAGCAGAGGAUAGCGGAAUUCCCGGUGUAGUGGUGAAAUGCGUAGAUAUCGGGAGGAACACCAGUGGCGAAGGCGGCUAUCUGGGCUGCAACUGACGCUGAGGCGCGAAGGCUAGGGUAGCAAACAGG